AAACAACGCUAGGGGCGUCGAUUUGACUGAGAAGAACCCUUUGAACCUGAACUAGUUAGUACUAGCGGAGGAAAGUGUCAUUGCUAAUGA
This 90-nucleotide non-coding RNA is filed under the name Fructobacillus sp. RNAcentral's name for it is "TPP sequence". It matches the Rfam family "TPP riboswitch aptamer (THI element)". Rfam says of the family: Vitamin B(1) in its active form thiamin pyrophosphate (TPP) is an essential coenzyme that is synthesised by coupling of pyrimidine and thiazole moieties in bacteria. The previously detected thiamin-regulatory element, thi box was extended, resulting in a new, highly conserved RNA secondary structure, the THI element, which is widely distributed in eubacteria and also occurs in some archaea. Analysis of operon structures identified a large number of new candidate thiamin-regulated genes, mostly transporters, in various prokaryotic organisms. The record is from RNAcentral. Lineage: Bacteria; Bacillati; Bacillota; Bacilli; Lactobacillales; Lactobacillaceae.